RNAcentral lists this ribosomal RNA (138 nucleotides) under Sinocyclocheilus anshuiensis. Lineage: Eukaryota; Metazoa; Chordata; Actinopteri; Cypriniformes; Cyprinidae. The record is from RNAcentral.
CUUGCCAGUGUAUUCACUCCGACAUCACAUUUCAAAUAUAUAGUCAUAAAUACUGGUCGCCCACUGAAGCUAAGCAGGGCUGAGUCUGGUCAGUACUUGGAUGGGAGACCUCCUGGGAAAACUAGGUUGCUGCUGGAA